Molecule: long non-coding RNA, 208 nt
Filed under: Elaeis guineensis (African oil palm)
Lineage: Eukaryota; Viridiplantae; Streptophyta; Magnoliopsida; Arecales; Arecaceae
Description: long non-coding RNA (EGUI_LNC032710)
Source: RNAcentral
AAAUAUUUUCACCUAAAUGCUCUCUAUACCAGAAACUUUGUAUGAGUGAUCAUCUCCGAGUGUCAUGGUCCCCUCAUCAAUCUUGGUGUAUGUCACGAACCAAGAUCGGUUUGGGAUGUAGUGAUGUGAACAAGCUGAAUCUAGAGUCCAUACAUCUGUGUAUCAUCUGUGACCAUCAGAUACCACCAAGAGGUCAUCCUCCACCUCC